CGGGUGUGGUUCAAUGGUAGAACUUGAGCUUCCCAAGCUUACAACGCGGGUUCGAUUCCCGUCACCC
RNAcentral lists this transfer RNA (67 nucleotides) under bovine gut metagenome. It matches the Rfam family "tRNA". Rfam says of the family: Transfer RNA (tRNA) molecules are approximately 80 nucleotides in length. Their secondary structure includes four short double-helical elements and three loops (D, anti-codon, and T loops). The record is from RNAcentral.